RNAcentral lists this long non-coding RNA (1674 nucleotides) under Gossypium barbadense (sea-island cotton). RNAcentral's name for it is "long non-coding RNA (GBAR_LNC008926)". The record is from RNAcentral. Lineage: Eukaryota; Viridiplantae; Streptophyta; Magnoliopsida; Malvales; Malvaceae.
UACUAGAGAUAUUAACAUGGUAUUAGUUGCCUACCUUUUGGAGACCUGAUAUAUUGUGAUUUCAUGUCUACCACUGCUUCCGCCGACUCAACCACUGCUCCUCCUUGCUGCUCAAUGUUCACUAGCACUCAGUUGGUUCAGUCCUUUCCUUAUCACGAUACUGUUAAGCUAGAUGAAAAUAAUUUUGUGCAAUGGCAACAGCACAUACGUUUGAUUACAAAAGGAUAUAAUUUGACCCAUUUUUUAGAAGGCACAUUACCUGCUCCAUCAAGGUUCGUACAGUCACUGGAUGGAUUUUGGUGGCAAAUCCGGAAGCCUCGGCUUAUGUUUAACAGGAUAAGUUGCUUGCUUCUUGGCUUCUUUCUACUAUUAGCUCAUCUCUUUUGUCUAGUUUCAAAGAUGCGAAGUCGGCGUGUGACGUUUGGACCACCGCUACUCGUCUCUUUGCUGCUGUCUCCGGUGCGAAGCUCUCCCGAAUCCGUCAUGAUCUCCACUUGAUCAAGAAAGGUGCGAUGUCAAUCACGGAGUACAUCGCGAAGAUCUAGAACACAUGUGCCUUGAUAGAUGCAGCUGGAUCUCGGAUUUCAAAAACAGAGAAGGUAGAGAUCGUGUUUGCCGGGUUACCAUCGGAGUUUGACGCUGUACUCACUCUUGCGUCCUUUUCGUCCGAACCUCUGCCAUUGCAACGUUUGGUUGAUAUCUUGUUGGAGUUUGAGAGUAGGUAGAUUCGUGCGAUUCGGGAGGCACCGUUACAUACACAUCUGGUCGAGGCAACUCCGUCAACAAUGGUGGUCGAUUCCGCGCGUAGAGGCCGUUCGCUUGUUGGUUGUGGGAGAGGUUUUAGAUCUUGCAUUCCAUGCCAAAUAUGUGGUCAGUCUGGGCACUUGGCUCAACGGUGUUAUUACCAUUUCAACCGUGACUGUGGUGGUCCGGCGUCGGGGGCAAGGGUCUCAUCUUCGUCCAGUUUUGUCAAUCAAGGUUCUGGUGUGCUGUAUGCUGCUGUGCCCGCCCCGAUGUCAAUCUCCAGUGCUGGUCUCCCCUCGAUGGUGCCACAGUUGAAUUUUCCUAAUGGAUGGUGGGGUGGUUCUCUACCAGUUGCAGCUCUCUUAUUUUUGCAACAGACCAGGGUUUCUCAACAUUUUAUUUCACAUGAGGAUGGGGCUGGCUAUUCGUUUCGGCCAUCCGUUGGGCCUAGUGUAAUGUGUCAUCCGUUGAGCCUAGUCCUUUAAUUGGACUUUCUAAUCAAGCUGGGCCAUAUUCAGCAGGCACUAAUUUUGGGCACCAUUUCCACAAUAUUGGAUCGUCCACCACUUUAGCUCUCCAUGAGCCGAUUUCGAACUAUAUUCAAUUUGAGGGGUCUAUUGAUCAUGGUCUGGGUUUUCGGCCUAUAAGUGGCGAGGAGUUUGGGCCGAAUUAUGGGUCCCGCAUUCCAUGGAUGAGAAAACCACGUGCUUGUGUUUUUCCUACAUCGGCUCUGCCGUGUGUUGGGUUGCCCCAUGUUCCCAACUUUCACACAUCUAAUGUCUCAAAUUCCACUAGAUCUAAUAUUAGUUCAACUAAUUUUGGGUCUAAUUUUGAUGAUGAUUCAUAUAUUCCUAUGCUUGUAGGGAUGUCAUCUUGGUCUCCAAAUUUAGGGGCUACGCAUCACGUCUGUCCAGAGGCCUCUGCCUUAAA